UGUCAAUGCACUGAAUGCUCGCCCAUUUGAAAAACUGGAGCUUAUUGCGGAAGCCACAAAACACCCAAAGAGAAUUUGGUGCCAUGUGCCAUCUACGAUACUUCUUUCUGCAGAGCAUUUCUGAAAAACGCCAGCAUGGCCAAACAGCGAUUCGAAAGAGCUGCAAGACAGUGGAAUCCCAUAAACCACGCCAGUAGUGCAAGGAGCAUAUCUGUGGACA
This is a long non-coding RNA of Rhipicephalus microplus (southern cattle tick), 220 nucleotides long. The record is from RefSeq and is a predicted model, not a curated record. NCBI's taxonomy places the organism in Eukaryota, Metazoa, Arthropoda, Arachnida, Ixodida, Ixodidae.